Molecule: ribosomal RNA, 119 nt
Organism: Cercocebus atys (sooty mangabey)
Lineage: Eukaryota; Metazoa; Chordata; Mammalia; Primates; Cercopithecidae
Source: Ensembl
GUCUACAGCCGUACCACCCUGAACGUGCCCGAUCUCGUCUGAUCUCGGAAGCUAAGCAUGGUCAGGCCUGCUUAGUGCUUGAGUGGGAGACCACCUGGGAAUACUGGGUGCUGUAGGCU